RNAcentral lists this ribosomal RNA (484 nucleotides) under uncultured bacterium. RNAcentral's name for it is "partial 16S ribosomal RNA". It matches the Rfam family "Bacterial small subunit ribosomal RNA", at positions 30 to 507 of the family's 1533-position model. The record is from RNAcentral.
AUUGAACGCUGGCGGCAGGCCUAACACAUGCAAGUCGAGCGGAUGAAGGGAGCUUGCUCCUGGAUUCGGCGGCGGACGGGUGAGUAAUGCCUAGGAAUCUGCCUGGUAGUGGGGGAUAACGUCCGGAAACGGGCGCUAAUACCGCAUACGUCCUGAGGGAGAAAGUGGGGGAUCUUCGGACCUCACGCUAUCAGAUGAGCCUAGGUCGGAUUAGCUAGUUGGUGGGGUAAAGGCCUACCAAGGCGACGAUCCGUAACUGGUCUGAGAGGAUGAUCAGUCACACUGGAACUGAGACACGGUCCAGACUCCUACGGGAGGCAGCAGUGGGGAAUAUUGGACAAUGGGCGAGAGCCUGAUCCAGCCAUGCCGCGUGUGUGAAGAAGGUCUUCGGAUUGUAAAGCACUUUAAGUUGGGAGGAAGGGCAGUAAGUUAAUACCUUGCUGUUUUGACGUUACCAACAGAAUAAGCACCGGCUAACUUCGUG